RNAcentral lists this ribosomal RNA (253 nucleotides) under uncultured bacterium. RNAcentral describes it as "partial 16S ribosomal RNA". It matches the Rfam family "Bacterial small subunit ribosomal RNA", at positions 524 to 776 of the family's 1533-position model. The record is from RNAcentral.
GACGAACCGUGCAAACGUUAUUCGGAAUCACUGGGCAUAAAGCGCACGUAGGCGGCGACGUAAGUUGGGUGUGAAAUCCCUCGGCCCAACCGAGGAACUGCGCCCAGUACUGCGUUGCUUGAGGAUCCAAGGGGUGCAUGGAAUUCCCGGUGGAGCGGUGAAAUGCGUUGAUAUCGGGAGGAACACCAAUGGCGAAGGCAGCUUGCUGGGACGGUACUGACGCUGAGGCGCGAAAGCGUGGGGAGCAAACAGG